This 600-nucleotide ribosomal RNA is filed under the name Klebsiella pneumoniae. RNAcentral describes it as "partial 23S ribosomal RNA". It matches the Rfam family "Bacterial large subunit ribosomal RNA", at positions 1 to 633 of the family's 2925-position model. Lineage: Bacteria; Pseudomonadati; Pseudomonadota; Gammaproteobacteria; Enterobacterales; Enterobacteriaceae. The record is from RNAcentral.
GGGUUGUGAGGUUAAGCGACUAAGCGUACACGGUGGAUGCCCUGGCAGUCAGAGGCGAUGAAGGACGUGCUAAUCUGCGAAAAGCGUCGGUAAGGUGAUAUGAACCGUUAUAACCGGCGAUGUCCGAAUGGGGAAACCCAGUGCAAUUCGUUGCACUAUCGUUAACUGAAUACAUAGGUUAACGAGGCGAACCGGGGGAACUGAAACAUCUAAGUACCCCGAGGAAAAGAAAUCAACCGAGAUUCCCCCAGUAGCGGCGAGCGAACGGGGAGCAGCCCAGAGUCUGAAUCAGCUUGUGUGUUAGUGGAACGGUCUGGAAAGUCCGACGGUACAGGGUGAUAGUCCCGUACACCAAAAUGCACAGGCUGUGAACUCGAAGAGUAGGGCGGGACACGUGGUAUCCUGUCUGAAUAUGGGGGGACCAUCCUCCAAGGCUAAAUACUCCUGACUGACCGAUAGUGAACCAGUACCGUGAGGGAAAGGCGAAAAGAACCCCGGCGAGGGGAGUGAAAAAGAACCUGAAACCGUGUACGUACAAGCAGUGGGAGCACCUUCGGGUGUGACUGCGUACCUUUUGUAUAAUGGGUCAGCGACUUAUAU